UACGUAGGGUGCAAGCGUUGUCCGGAAUUAUUGGGCGUAAAGAGCUCGUAGGCGGUUUGUCGCGUCUGCUGUGAAAACGCGAGGCUCAACCUCGCGCCUGCAGUGAGUACGGGCAGACUAGAGUGCGGUAGGGGAGAUUGGAAUUCCUGGUGUAGCGGUGAAAUGCGCAGAUAUCAGGAGGAACACCAAUAGCGAAGGCAGCUCGCUGGGACGGUACUGACGCUAAGGCGCGAAAGCGUGGGGAGCGAACAGG
This 253-nucleotide ribosomal RNA is filed under the name uncultured bacterium. RNAcentral's name for it is "partial 16S ribosomal RNA". It matches the Rfam family "Bacterial small subunit ribosomal RNA", at positions 524 to 776 of the family's 1533-position model. The record is from RNAcentral.